UGGGGGAUAUUGCACAAUGGGCGAAAGCCUGAUGCAGCGACGCCGCGUGGGGGAUGAAGGCUUUCGGGUUGUAAACCUCUUUCGCUAUCGAACAAGGCCCGCUUAGGGUGGGUUGAGGGUAGGUGGAGAAGAAGCGCCGGCCAACUACGUGCCAGCAGCCGCGGUAAUACGUAGGGCGCGAGCGUUGUCCGGAAUUAUUGGGCGUAAAGGGCUUGUAGGCGGCUUGUUGCGCCUGCUGUGAAAACGCGGGGCUUAACUUCGCGCGUGCAGUGGGUACGGGCAGGCUUGAGUGUGGUAGGGGUGACUGGAAUUCCAGGUGUAGCGGUGGAAUGCGCAGAUAUCUGGAGGAACACCGAUGGCGAAGGCAGGUCACUGGGCCAUUACUGACGCUGAGGAGCGAAAGCAUGGGUAGCGAACAGG
This 420-nucleotide ribosomal RNA is filed under the name bacterium. RNAcentral describes it as "partial 16S ribosomal RNA". It matches the Rfam family "Bacterial small subunit ribosomal RNA", at positions 355 to 776 of the family's 1533-position model. The record is from RNAcentral.